GACGAACGCUGGCGGCGUGCUUAACACAUGCAAGUCGAGCGGUAAGGCCCUUUCGGGGGUACACGAGCGGCGAACGGGUGAGUAACACGUGGGUGACCUGCCCUCAGCUCUGGGAUAAGCCCGGGAAACUGGGUCUAAUACUGGAUAUGACUCCAUGACGCAUGUUGUGGGGUGGAAAGCCUUGUGCGGCUGAGGAUGGGCCCGCGGCCUAUCAGCUUGUUGGUGGGGNGAUGGCCUACCAAGGCGACGACGGGUAGCCGGCCUGAGAGGGCGACCGGCCACACUGGGACU
RNAcentral lists this ribosomal RNA (291 nucleotides) under uncultured bacterium. Its description in RNAcentral is "partial 16S ribosomal RNA". It matches the Rfam family "Bacterial small subunit ribosomal RNA", at positions 28 to 320 of the family's 1533-position model. The record is from RNAcentral.